RNAcentral lists this ribosomal RNA (372 nucleotides) under uncultured organism. RNAcentral describes it as "partial 16S ribosomal RNA". It matches the Rfam family "Bacterial small subunit ribosomal RNA", at positions 527 to 896 of the family's 1533-position model. The record is from RNAcentral.
GUAGGUGGCAAGCGUUGUCCGGAAUCAUUGGGCGUAAAGCGCGCGCAGGGCGGUCCUUUAAGUCUGAUGUGAAAGCCCACGGCUCAACCGUGGAGGGUCAUUGGAAACUGGGGGACUUGAGUACAGAAGAGGAAAGCGGAAUUCCAAGUGUAGCGGUGAAAUGCGUAGAGAUUUGGAGGAACACCAGUGGCGAAGGCGGCUUUCUGGUCUGUAACUGACGCUGAGGCGCGAAAGCGUGGGGAGCAAACAGGAUUAGAUACCCUGGUAGUCCACGCCGUAAACGAUGAGUGCUAAGUGUUAGGGGGUUUCCGCCCCUUAGUGCUGCAGCUAACGCAUUAAGCACUCCGCCUGGGGAGUACGGCCGCAAGGCUG